This 650-nucleotide ribosomal RNA is filed under the name Lactobacillus fornicalis. RNAcentral's name for it is "bacterial SSU rRNA". It matches the Rfam family "Bacterial small subunit ribosomal RNA", at positions 59 to 675 of the family's 1533-position model. The record is from RNAcentral. Lineage: Bacteria; Bacillati; Bacillota; Bacilli; Lactobacillales; Lactobacillaceae.
CAGUCGACGAACUCUGGUAUUGAUUGGUGCUUGCAUCAUGAUUUACAUUUGAGUGAGUGGCGAACUGGUGAGUAACACGUGGGAAACCUGCCCAGAAGCGGGGGAUAACACCUGGAAACAGAUGCUAAUACCGCAUAACAACUUGGACCGCAUGGUCCGAGUUUGAAAGAUGGCUUCGGCUAUCACUUUUGGAUGGUCCCGCGGCGUAUUAGCUAGAUGGUGGGGUAACGGCUCACCAUGGCAAUGAUACGUAGCCGACCUGAGAGGGUAAUCGGCCACAUUGGGACUGAGACACGGCCCAAACUCCUACGGGAGGCAGCAGUAGGGAAUCUUCCACAAUGGACGAAAGUCUGAUGGAGCAACGCCGCGUGAGUGAAGAAGGGUUUCGGCUCGUAAAACUCUGUUGUUAAAGAAGAACAUAUCUGAGAGUAACUGUUCAGGUAUUGACGGUAUUUAACCAGAAAGCCACGGCUAACUACGUGCCAGCAGCCGCGGUAAUACGUAGGUGGCAAGCGUUGUCCGGAUUUAUUGGGCGUAAAGCGAGCGCAGGCGGUUUUUUAAGUCUGAUGUGAAAGCCUUCGGCUCAACCGAAGAAGUGCAUCGGAAACUGGGAAACUUGAGUGCAGAAGAGGACAGUGGAACUCCAUGUG